RNAcentral lists this ribosomal RNA (322 nucleotides) under uncultured eukaryote. RNAcentral describes it as "partial 18S ribosomal RNA". It matches the Rfam family "Eukaryotic small subunit ribosomal RNA", at positions 1470 to 1796 of the family's 1831-position model. The record is from RNAcentral.
CCCUUAGAUGUUCUGGGCCGCACGCGUGCUACACUGAGUGGAUCAGCGGGUCAGGUUGCGCGAAAGCGUUUCCUAAUCUUUAAAUCCGCUCGUGAUGGGGAUUGACGGUUGCAAUUUUCUGUCAUGAACGAGGAAUACCUUGUAAGCGCGGGUCAUCAUCCCGCGCUGAAUACGUCCCUGCCCUUUGUACACACCGCCCGUCGCUCCUACCGAUUGAGUGGUCCGGUGAGGCUUUGGGAUCUGAGCAAAGAGAGCGUUUCGCUCGUUUUGCCCGGAAAACUCAGUCGAACCUUAUCAUUUAGAGGAAGGAGAAGUCGUAACA